UUUUUUUAAUUUUUUAUUUAUUUUAUCCCUAUGAGUUUCUGGUUUAUGAUGGGAAGUGAUAACAUUUGACAUUUACCUAGUAGAUUAGGAGGAUUGGUUGACUGUCUUAGAUCUAAUCCUGGGUGCCAAUUCAAUAGUUGAUAGAGAGAAUGAGAGAGAAACCAUAUAAAGAUAAACAGUCCUUUUAUCUUAUCCCUCUAUAUACAUGGAGAAUAUUUGCAAAUCCUUAACCUUAUGGUAUGAGUAGACACUUGCAACUUGCAAGAGCCUGCUCUUCUGUUUUACUUCUUUUUAUUUUUGCCAUGGUUACUUUUAGCUUGCGAACUGCUGUCAUCUUUCAUUUAGGUGAAGAAAUAAACACCUUAUAUCCAUCUUAAGGUAUUUCUUUAUAAUGAAAAAUUUUCAUAAUUCUAUUUUUUGUUUGAACAGGUUUGUGCCAUCUUGAAGG
This 448-nucleotide unclassified non-coding RNA is filed under the name Hevea brasiliensis (rubber tree). Lineage: Eukaryota; Viridiplantae; Streptophyta; Magnoliopsida; Malpighiales; Euphorbiaceae. The record is from RNAcentral.